Molecule: ribosomal RNA, 496 nt
Filed under: Bigelowiella longifila
Lineage: Eukaryota; Cercozoa; Chlorarachniophyceae
Description: partial Bacterial small subunit ribosomal RNA
Rfam family: Bacterial small subunit ribosomal RNA
Source: RNAcentral
AUGGAGAGUUUGAUCCUGGCUCAGGAUGAACGCUGGCGGUAUGCCUGACACAUGCAAGUCGAACGAGAAAACUUUGUUUUCUAGUGGCGCACGGGUGAGUAACGCGUAAGAAUCUACCUUUAGGUAGAGGAUAACAAUUGGAAACGAUUGCUAAUACUCUAUAAGCUGAGAAGUGAAAUGAUAUAUUUAUAUAUAUUGCCUAGAGAUGAGCUUGCGUCUGAUUAGCCUGUUGGUAGGGUAAAAGCUUACCAAAGCUAUAAUCAGUAGCUGGUCUGAGAGGAUAGACAGCCACACCGGAACUUAGAUACGGUCCGGACUCCUACGGGAGGCAGCAGUGAGGAAUUUUCCGCAAUGGGCGAAAGCCUGACGGAGCAAUACCGCGUGGAGGAUGAAAGCCUAUGGGUUGUAAACUCCUUUUCUUAGAGAAGAAGUUCUGACGGUAUCUAAAGAAUAAGCAUCGGCUAACUCCGUGCCAGCAGCCGCGGUAAUACGGAGG